Molecule: ribosomal RNA, 260 nt
Filed under: uncultured prokaryote
Description: partial 16S ribosomal RNA
Rfam family: Bacterial small subunit ribosomal RNA
Source: RNAcentral
UACGUAGGGUGCAAGCGUUGUCCGGAAUUACUGGGCGUAAAGAGCUCGUAGGUGGUUUGUCGCGUCGUCUGUGAAAUCCCGGGGCUUAACUUCGGGCGUGCAGGCGAUACUGGCAUAACUUGAGUGCUGUAGGGGAGACUGGAAUUCCUGGUGUAGCGGUGAAAUGCGCAGAUAUCAGGAGGAACACCGAUGGCGAAGGCAGGUCUCUGGGCAGUUACUGACGCUGAGGAGCGAAAGCAUGGGUAGCGAACAGGAUUAGA